CUAACCCGAUAUGUGUGUGCACUGCGUGUGUCUACCCUUCGGCGAGUGGGGUGGGAAAGCCGUUGAACCCCCUUCCCGUUAGGGAUUGGGGAUUGCAAUUUUUUCCCAUGAACGAGGAAUUCCCAGUAAGCGCGGGUCAUAAGCUCGCGUUUAUUAACUCCCUGCCCUUUGUACACACCACAA
This 183-nucleotide ribosomal RNA is filed under the name uncultured eukaryote. Its description in RNAcentral is "partial 18S ribosomal RNA". It matches the Rfam family "Eukaryotic small subunit ribosomal RNA", at positions 1512 to 1674 of the family's 1831-position model. The record is from RNAcentral.